GAUGAAGAGCGUAGCGAAAAGCGAUAAGUAAUGUGAAUUGCAGAAUUCAGUGAAUCAUCGAAUCUUUGAACGCACCUUGCGCUCCUUGGUAUUCCGAGGAGCAUGCCUGUUUGAGUGUCAUUAAUAUAUCAACCUUCUCUUUUUUGAGUUGUUUGGAUGUGGGGGUUUGCUGGCCUCUUAAAUGAUUCAGCUCCCCUGAAAUGCAUUAGCAGAGCAACCUGUUCAUUGGCGUGAUAAUUAUCUAUGCUAUUGAAUGUGAGGGCAGUUCAGCUUUCUAACCGUCCUUGGACAAUUCAUCAUUAAUGUGACCUCAAAUCAGGUAGGACUACCCGCUGAACUUAGGCAUAUCAAUAAGCGGAGGA
RNAcentral lists this unclassified non-coding RNA (362 nucleotides) under soil metagenome. RNAcentral's name for it is "partial contains 5.8S ribosomal RNA, internal transcribed spacer 2, and large subunit ribosomal RNA". The stretch from base 1 to 120 matches the Rfam family "5.8S ribosomal RNA", at positions 35 to 154 of the family's 154-position model. The record is from RNAcentral.